Molecule: transfer RNA, 83 nt
Filed under: Yarrowia lipolytica
Lineage: Eukaryota; Fungi; Ascomycota; Dipodascomycetes; Dipodascales
Description: tRNA-Lys
Source: RNAcentral
GCCGGCUAGCCUCAAUCGAAAGCGUGAGACUUUUAAUUCUAAAAAAGCAAUCAAGCUGUGGGUUUCAAGCCCCACGUCGGGCU